CAACUCUUUAGUUUACCUGUGGAGACACAAACAGAACUUUGCCUACAAACCCUCAGAGGAACAUAGCAAAUAUGGCAGAAUUCAUGAUUCUGAUGAAAAGUUUUUACUAAUUUAUGGUUUCUUUCUUCUUUUUUUAAAUUUUAACUUGCGCUUUGACUCAUUUUCAGA
Molecule: long non-coding RNA, 168 nt
Organism: Thalassophryne amazonica
Lineage: Eukaryota; Metazoa; Chordata; Actinopteri; Batrachoidiformes; Batrachoididae
Exons: 4
Source: RefSeq, a predicted model, not a curated record